CAUCGUUCGUUCAACGAGGAAAAAGAGAAACAAGACAUGACAUUCAUCAUUGACAAAUCUGAUAUUCCAACCGGAACGAGACAUAUCAUAGAAGACUGAGACAGAAAAAAAAGAAAACAAGUCAAUCACAUCCAUCAAAAUGAAGAAAUAACAAGCAACUCAAAAGAAGCAUUUGGCGUAUCCUAGAUUACAUUGUUGGUGGAUUUCACCGAAAAUGUAUAUCAACAAUAGAAGAAAGAAGGACAAAAAAAUUAGAUUUCUUCUUACAAAAGGAUGAAUCAAAAAGACUGGUUGCCAUUUGGAUGUCUAAGGAUGAGUUCAAAAGAACUUCUUCUACACGAAAAAAAAUGGCGCGCGCUGUGGUUCAACGUGCAACGACAACGAUCUGACCGUGCCAUCGUGUAUCCCCCCACUCAAUGUCUCUGACUAAUGAGGCUAGUCCAGAAGAAAAUGGCGCCAGAACCACGUGCAGAAAAAAGAAACAGCACUUUUAGGUGGAUUGACGGAUAGACUGAAGAGGGGGGUGAGUAAGAAAAUUUGCUCAUCCCCAUAUAUACACCUUCUGUCAACCCUUUUCAAAGCGUUGUUUUUUCAACACGUGGAUCUUUACUGGACAGGGUAAUCUAUUCAGAGUUUUGUUUCUAGUCGUUUCUAGUCAUUGACUUUGACAUACGCUUUCUGUAAUUUCUGAAUAAUCUCAUUUUCUCGUUUCUUACUCUUCCCCCCGCGUUGUCUAUAUUUUCCAUGUUGAGUACGUGCAGACCGAACAAAAUCUGAAACUGACAGUGGAAAGUCAAAUCGAACGACAGAACUAAAAUUAAAAAGUUCUUUUUGUCUUUGAGAUAGCCUCAAAAGGAAAACGAGUUUCUCAUGUGGCACAGACACCCAAAAAUCCCUACGUGCCCUACACGUUAUUGUUUUCUACGUCCUUCUCGUUGAAAAGGAAAACAUUUCCAUUAAAACAAAGAACAAUCUCUUUGGACUUUGUCUAGGACGCCAUUCAACGUUUCUACGGUUCGAAGAACGCAGGAAAACGAUAAGCAUUUCAGUGAACCCAACCGUUUCGUGUCACAUUUCCUACUGGAUCGUGAAUAGAAAAUGGAUGCAUACAAACAUGUAUCAGGCAGACGACCAACGUUCUUCGAGAAGUGAGUGCAUUACGUCGAGUCGAAUAGUUUUCGUGAACGCAGAUAAACAAAAGCAAAAAGACAAUUCCAUCAGACGUUUGUGAUGCCGUGAAAUAUUCAGAUCAUUUUUGCCUCGCAAUUCCUUUGGAAACAAGAACUGGUUCACCUGGUGGCCGAUCAAAGGCACCUUCUUCCUUGAUCGCCAUGGAAUGUUGAAUUUAAUAACCAAAAAAAGGUAAAGUCAAAAUAACGAUGCGGCCAUCAAGGUUUUUUCCUUUUCUCGUUUCGAUUCCUCAACAGGUUUUUUUCUUUAACUAUCAGCCAAGUUUGCUGCUGUGCAGACCUAUAUGUUAGAUUACCUGGCAGCAUUUCGUAUAUAAGUGAACUGGCGUCAUCGUGAGUUGAAACUCUUUUCCCACGGCACUUUUUCCGUAUCGUAUUCUUGUAAUGGCUCGUUAUUGCCGUUUUGCUGAUUCUCUCUUUCAAAAAAAAAAAUUUUUACUCGGCCAAAAGAAAACCCCAUUCGUGCAAAAAAAAAGAAGAGGGAUGUCUCACGUAGUACAAAAAGUAUCUCAUUAAAAAAAACAAAAACCUUUUCCAUGUAUCGCACCGGUUAGUUGCUCGUUGGACGCCGCUCGUCAGUCCGUGUCUGCUUGUUAAUAUCCUACCGAUACUUUUCUUCUUUUAUCAUCUGCACUUUUGUAGUAAAAAAAACAAAAAAAAUCUUCGUGAUUCGGGACCCGCAGGUUUUUUUUAUUCUCCCUAUAACCAUAACCGUCGAAAACAACCGCAGCAAACAAAAGAGCAGAAAACUUUUUUUGUUUCUUUUUUAAAACCCAAACCGCGAAACGAAGAUACCUAUUUUAUGUCAGGUGUCAGUUUUUAAGUUUAUACGAGUCGGAUCAAUUUUUAUCGACUCAAUUUCUAAAAAAACCUGGGCUUUUCCAACCGCACAUAAACCACAUCGUUCUACUAACUGUUGAACGAUAUUUCUUAUUUUGUAUGUAUUACUAGUAGGUUAACUUAAUACGUUCACGCUAGAAUUAUUUCCUAAUGUCUACAAAGGGAAAUGUUUGCGUGAUGUAGCCCGAUGAGAAAGUCUGACGGUUAAUUAUAAACUAAGCGUGUCGCAAGAUCAUCAGUUUCAUCCGACGUGUACAACCGUCAUGUAUGGCAAUCUCGUGUACUCGAUGAGGCACGGGCCGGCACCGAUUCGAUCCAUCAAGUCUUGAAAUUUUUGGGUUUUAAAUGGCCGAAUUUGAUGCACGCUUUCACGGUUGUACACAACAUUCGAGAUAUUCAACCAAUGUGCGCGUUUACUUACGUAAUUGCGUGUGUGUGUGUGUGCAAGACCUUUUCCAUCAUCCAAACUCAUCCUUUUUUUUCAAAGAGGGAGUUGUUUGACUGAUUUCACACCCAUCUUAUUUAUCGUUGAAUUUCUUUGUUAUCGAUAUUGUUUUGAAUCAUAUUUAAAUAGUUUAUUUGCAGGGGCUUUGGAAUUUUCAGUUGUCCUGGGGACAUAGAAAAAGGACGUUAUGUCGUUAGUGAACUUGAUGUCGUAUGCGGCUUUUCGUGCAGCAGGUGGUGCGGUGAAUUAAAAAUGGUAGAUCCAAUUUGAAUCAACACAUUAAAACGUCGGGAACACGAAAAAAGGUCCACCAUAUUUCCCGAUGAACCACCUGAUGUGCAACAACAGGAGCAAAAAAACAGGACGAUCAUACGGAACAGUGGACUAUUACUUUUAUUUGAGACCCUCGGGUCAUUCUUUGCAUAUUGCUACGAUUUUUAAUAUUCUAAUGAAGGUAGCGGUAUUAUAUUUUAAAAAAAUGGAAACCCUAAUCAAGCGAGCAGUGACUUUCGAAGCAGAAGAUUAGAGAGAGAGAAAAAAAACAUGAUGUCUUGCUGCAUAUACACAUCAACAGAUUUACGGAAUUAUACAGAGAGGGGGGAAGAAACCAAUUCCAGUAGAGCACGCAACUGGAUGAAGAGCCGCUAGCCAUUUGCUUUCCAUCUUUUUUCAGAGAUGAUGGCCCGAAACAUAAGAAGAAGAAGAAAAAAAAUUACACAGCCACGUUUUUUUGUUGUGACCAUUGCCAGAGGAUAUAAACAGUCGAGAGAUAGAAAACACUGGAAAUCCAUAGACCUGUCGUCGGUCAGUUGUCGGAAUGAAAGGCAAAAAAACUGAACAAAAAGGAAGUUCGCCCAGAAACUUAUUUGAGUUUACAUGAAGAGGUGCAUAAUCUAGACUUGUAUAUCAUUAUUAUUAUGAGGGCUCUCUGGUCUUUGAAUAAUUUUUCAGCCGAAAAAGUACAUAAAUCACGCAGACGCACACGCGAGCCGUAGAGCACAAGCAGCCGAGAACAACCAAAAAAGAAGGGGGUAACAGUUUUAAAACUUUGUUUUGAUUCAAAUCAUCAAACACAAAAGAAAGAAACAACUUUGAAUUUUUGUGAUUCGCUUUUGUUUUUUAACGAUGAUGAACGAAGAAGAAAGUUCAUCUAAUCCCAAAAACAAAACAAAACAAAAAAAAACCCUUUAUACAUAUACACAACUCUUCUUAAUUUUCUUCUAAAAAUGCAGGGCGUAAUUAUGAAGUGCAUAACUGCGCGUGAGAUAAAAAGGUCGGAGGCCCUCCCGCUAGUCAACGGGGGGAAACGAUUGGGGGGACUGUAUGAGAGUUACGGGAGUUUGGAGAAAAAGUGCGCGUAAUCGCGUCCAUUAAAUAAAGGGGACGUUGGAGAAGGAGAAAAGUCGUAACACAAAACGAGGCUAACGAGCUUGAUUAAACUAUCCCGAACGAGAACAACAAAAGGCACUAUACUUGCUCUCUGCUGUAUAUAUUAUACGAAAACACAAAAGCUUAAAUGCAUCUGGA
Molecule: long non-coding RNA, 4002 nt
Filed under: Daphnia magna
Lineage: Eukaryota; Metazoa; Arthropoda; Branchiopoda; Diplostraca; Daphniidae
Description: uncharacterized LOC116923088, transcript variant X6
Source: RNAcentral